Nicotiana tabacum (common tobacco) is the source of this 364-nucleotide long non-coding RNA. RefSeq lists it as uncharacterized. The record is from RefSeq and is a predicted model, not a curated record. NCBI's taxonomy places the organism in Eukaryota, Viridiplantae, Streptophyta, Magnoliopsida, Solanales, Solanaceae.
GUGCUUGCAAUUGUUGUCAACUGCUUAACGCCAAGAUAUGUUUGCUAAGUCUGCAGAAAAGAUUGAAGGAACUCAUCGCCCUUGAUACUCGUAAGCAGACUUUCACAUUCAUAAUAUGGGAAGAAGCUAUUAUUGAAGAUGAGGGAAAGAAACUCCUUAGGCAAUUCCAAGAAUAUCCCAUCAUCCUUGCAAGACGUAUUGGGGUGUCGAAAUACAAUGGCACAUCAUUGACAACAAGGUUUAACACAACCAUACAGAUUAAUCCACCUUAUCAACAGUGUCUGCAACUAGGUAAAUGGUAUCACAUUAGUGAGCACCUAAUUUUUGAACAUAUUUAGAUUUUUUUAUUACUUUUAGUAUUUAA